AAUAAAUUGAGUAUUAUUUCCCCAAAAAAGAAAAAAAAAAUUCAUCAAGUGGAAGAGCUGCUAGCAAUAGCCCAAGAUCAGAUUCCACAGGGAGAGGUUUAAUAAUUAGUAAUUACAUAAAGAAAUUAACAAGAAAGAUCCAUUAGAUAGUAAACUAGAAAGUUACAAUCAAAGCGGGAGCUUACUCAGUUUACAUUUGCAGAAUAUUCAGACAAUAAACUUGAUGGCAGUAACCCUGAAAAAUUCUGUAACAUCUGAGGCAUGAAAAUAUCAUCAAAAGAUGACUCCAGUGGAUGAGGAGGAGCAUCUGGUGUUUCAGGCAGCUGCUUAGCACUUAGAUCCACAGUGGGGACCUCUAGUGCAAGAUCAUCAACAGUUUUAGAUGCAUUAUCUGGGACCGUUAGAUUAUUGACGUACCUA
Molecule: unclassified non-coding RNA, 420 nt
Filed under: Hevea brasiliensis (rubber tree)
Lineage: Eukaryota; Viridiplantae; Streptophyta; Magnoliopsida; Malpighiales; Euphorbiaceae
Source: RNAcentral